CUAAGGUAAUUAAGACAUCAAACCAGUUAGAUUUGAAUCCCUUCCAUUCCCGCUGAGAAUCAAUAUGGUGGAAACAUUGUUUUGCCUUGAUUUAACCUGCAUUCAAGUUUAGUAGACGUCGAAUAGCAAAAUCUUACUUAUAUGAUGCUGUCAAACGCACCGCUAAAAUUUCAAUGACUUGACUCUAUAAAUCGCCAAAUAGUUUCCUGGUACAAAAGGAACAGACGAGCUGCUUUUAACCUUUUAUAAGAUCCCUUCAUGGGCUUGAAUGAUAAUAAUGCACCCAUAGUUCACGGACUAGGAAAGUGUCGAGAAAAAGCUUGGACAUUUUUGGCGCGUCAAGGGACAUAAAGGAAUCCAACGGCAUAUUAACAAAUGUGGCGAGAGGGAAAGAAGAAGAAGAAGAAGAAGAAGAAGAAGAAGAAAAGAAUCUUUAAUCUAAAUGUUCUAGUUACAUAUCGAUCGACUGCCUUGUAAUUCCAUUAAUAAGUUCCCCAACGAUCUUUUGAGGAAUUUGGUUCUCUANUGGAGGGNUGGGUUAGAGAUCAUCAUCAUCCUCUUUUAUCCGAGGAGCUAUUGUCUUAUCUUUAUCAUGUCUAUCAAAAGUUAACAUUCUAUGGAUUUCCUGAAAAAUUAAUAUCAUAUAAUUCAAUCUCAUGUUGAUAUUGCUCCUACUCUUAUCUACGUUUCUUCAUUAUCUGACCUCUAACAGUACUGAUUUCCUGGAACAUAAUUAUCAUAUGAUGGAACCCUCGGACGGACUGACGGAACGACGGACUGACGGAACGACGGACGGAUGGACGGACUGAAAACAACUUAUUAAAAAUAUCUGAUCUGACAUCUGAGAUCUGACAUGUAAAACCAAGUGGAAUUGUUCCAACCAGAAAUUAGCAGGUGAAACUAAAAAAAGCCUUUUUAAUUAUUUAUUGAAUAUGGGAUUUAACUGAGGUCGAACAGAAUGAGGAGAAACAAUUUCCCUUUGUCUCAAUCUAAUUAUUGGUCACAACUUUCUGAUUUAGAAGAUGAACGGUUUUAUGCUGAACUUCUGCCUUAUCUUUUUUUUGAUCGGUCUUCAGAUGUAUGAUAAGUUUUCAGAUGGGUUCAAGUGGAUUUCACUACCUUCGCAGAGGACGAAAGUAGAUGUUGGUUCUAUCGUUCUCAUCAGGUGGUAUUACGAAUGUAAUGAAUAUGGUAUCUCUAACAUUCUUUACAACAAUAAAGAGAAGUUCUAUCGAUACGGAAGUAAACACAAUUAUACAGCAACAAAAAAUGUAGUUCCUCCUUUCUCUGUUAUUGGUGGAUCCAAUGUGACAAUUAUCAUCCCAGAUGUUGACAGAGACAAGAAUGGAUCAUAUUGCUGCUUCGUUCAUUGUGAUGGUGUUAAAAAUGAGACAUGCACAACUCUAGUCAUAUAUUUGAUGACUUACAUAUCUCGAAUUCAUUGAUCUACGUACCUCCUGCUUACUAAUAACGUUGCUUCGUCAAUCAAGUUAAACCAUUUUUUUUUAAUAGCAUGAAACAGACAUCGAUUUCUGAGAAUUGUAAAUGCCAGCAUGUACAAUUGUUCUGAGCAUGAACCAGACUAUGGCUUUAAAAUGCAAUAGCAUUUUGAGCCGUGGUAGAUUUUUCGUUGGCUAUCUAAGUGUCGUUUUUUUUGUGCUGUGCCUAUGGGCACAGUACAUUUGUUUUUGUUGAGUUAGGUAUGAUCGGAAUUUAGUGUUACGAAUGCCAUUGGUGGACCUCGUCAUGAUUGACAUUGGUGAAACACGAGGUGAAAAUGCAUGUUGAGAUCUGUAAGAUCGGGACACGGAGGA
RNAcentral lists this unclassified non-coding RNA (1814 nucleotides) under Actinia tenebrosa (Australian red waratah sea anemone). RNAcentral's name for it is "uncharacterized LOC116287050, transcript variant X1". The record is from RNAcentral. Lineage: Eukaryota; Metazoa; Cnidaria; Anthozoa; Actiniaria; Actiniidae.